This 500-nucleotide ribosomal RNA is filed under the name uncultured bacterium. RNAcentral describes it as "partial 16S ribosomal RNA". It matches the Rfam family "Bacterial small subunit ribosomal RNA", at positions 30 to 523 of the family's 1533-position model. The record is from RNAcentral.
AUUGAACGCUGGCGGCAGGCCUAACACAUGCAAGUCGAGCGGUAGAGAGAAGCUUGCUUCUCUUGAGAGCGGCGGACGGGUGAGUAAUGCCUAGGAAUCUGCCUGGUAGUGGGGGAUAACGUUCGGAAACGGACGCUAAUACCGCAUACGUCCUACAGGAGAAAGCAGGGGACCUUCGGGCCUUGCGCUAUCAGAUGAGCCUAGGUCGGAUUAGCUAGUUGGUGAGGUAAUGGCUCACCAAGGCGACGAUCCGUAACUGGUCUGAGAGGAUGAGCAGCCACACUGGAACUGAGACACGGUCCAGACUCCUACGGGAGGCAGCAGUGGGGAAUAUUGGACAAUGGGCGGAAGCCUGAUGCAGCCAUGCCGCGUGUGGGAAGAAGGUCUUCGGAUUGUAAAGCACUUUAAGUUGGGAGGAAGGGUUGUAGAUUAAUACUCUGCAAUUUUGACGUUACCGACAGAAUAAGCACCGGCUACCUCUGUGCCAGCAGCCGCCGUAA